Chiloscyllium plagiosum (whitespotted bambooshark) is the source of this 429-nucleotide non-coding RNA. The record is from RefSeq and is a predicted model, not a curated record. NCBI's taxonomy places the organism in Eukaryota, Metazoa, Chordata, Chondrichthyes, Orectolobiformes, Hemiscylliidae.
GCAACACGCGUCAACAGAAACGGAUUGGAAAAAUCAAUGACAUUAGUCCAUUAAUAGUGAAUCACGUAUUUGGAAAACAAUUUGAAGUACCCACCUUGCCUGCAGUCACUUUUCUGUGUCAUUGAGUCAAAAAAUGUGGUGCUAGAAAAACACAGCAGGCCAGGCAGCAUCCGAGGAGCAGGCGAAUCGACAUUUUGGGCCUAAGCCCUUCUUCAGGAAUCAUUGAGUCAUUGAGUCAGUCAGGUUACUGAAGUCUGAAAAAUCACACCAUUGAACAUAAAUAUUGGAGGCACUCAGAGGUUCUAUGCAUGCCUCUCAGCACAGCAUGGUGUUCCUACCAUUGAAUUCUCAGUUCAGAAGUCGCUGCUGUACAUGGAACUUAGAGGUGAGAAAAGAGACCCUAGAGGUUCAUGCAGAAGAAAAUAACAU